RNAcentral lists this long non-coding RNA (1329 nucleotides) under Vigna radiata. RNAcentral describes it as "long non-coding RNA (VRAD_LNC005703)". The record is from RNAcentral. Lineage: Eukaryota; Viridiplantae; Streptophyta; Magnoliopsida; Fabales; Fabaceae.
GGAGCAAUAAUUUCGAUCUACUCUGACGCACAUUCACUUUUUCUCGGACUUCGUAUCACUUUUGUGACGGAAAAGAAAGUAGAAAAAAAGCAAAAGAAACUUUACCCAGUGAAAGAUGGCGAUGAUCAUGACCAAGAAGACCACAUCAUUGAAUAUCAUGAACAUGUCAAGGACACACAAACACAGCAACAACUUUUCUUUUUUCAAACAAAAAAUUUCAAACCAUCUUCAACCUUAAACUUUUUCAAACUUUUUCUUCAAGUUUAUCUCAUAAUCAUUGUUAGAGCGUGCACAAUCUUCAAUAAUGACUGCUAAAUUCUUCAAUAAUCAAAACAAAACCCGCAUGAUCAUGAUGGUCCAAGUAAUAAUGUUCCAAAAUUGAUCAUUAGUUUUUCAGAAAUUCCACACCCACAUUGGUUUCAAUGUUUCUGGUAUUUUCUUUUCAUCAAUCUGCUUUGCCUUGUUUGAAUAGAACUCAAUCUAAAACUUCUGAGUUUAAAAUCUGUCACUAAAAUUGCUGAAUAUCAAGAAUGUUGAGAAUUUCAACAAGAAAACCCAGUUGAAGCUGUUAACCCUUUUAGCAUUUGAAAUCAAUCAAGCUUACAAGAACUUUUUUUUUUUUUUCAUCAAACUUAGAACAUUCUCUGUAUAUACCCAAAAGCAAUGAAUGAAAAAAGGUGUCCAGUUUUUCAUUCACAGUGCUGAAAUUACAUAACUCCAAGAACUUCCUCACACUAUAUUAUAUAAAACAUCGACACUUACCAAGAAAAGAGAGACGUUGACUUUCACUGUCAGGUGGGUCAAAAAGAAAAAUGUUAACUUUUCUUUCCUUUCACUUUCCUAUUUCCGGUGGUGGUGGCGGCGGCGGGGCGGUGGCGGAGGUUUCCGUCGUUGAGGAUCAACGGCAUGUCGUCGUUGGCCUCAUCGACAUCUUCUUGGGUGGCAAUUCUGAUGCAGCAAUGUUCCAAGGAGGCAAAGAAAGCUGUUGUGACGCCAUUGAUGAACCACAUGGCCACCCCAUCAGGUUUCCCGCAACCUCUGACCUUGUUUUCGCCACCAUUUUCGCUGCUAUUUGUUGAUCGGAGAGUGAAGAAGCCAUUCGUGGAGGAGGUGGUGGUGGCUGCCAUGGCUACUGUUGAAGUGGCCACAACCAGAAGAAGAUGGUGAAGGUUUUGGUAGCUAAUGAACUUUUGCUAGGUUUAGUUAUAACUGUGUAAUUUGAUUAUAUAUAUGAACAUUGCAAAAUUAAAAAAAUAAUAAUAAUCAUAAUUGCAAUCUUCGUGUCCUAGUAUAAUGGAAAUUUCAAUUUAGUCUUUUUCACUUCCCAAU